This 823-nucleotide long non-coding RNA is filed under the name Rattus norvegicus (Norway rat). Its description in RNAcentral is "long non-coding RNA NONRATT017008". The record is from RNAcentral. Lineage: Eukaryota; Metazoa; Chordata; Mammalia; Rodentia; Muridae.
UUUAAAUGAGUGCUGUUUAAACACCUUAAUUUAGUAAGUUCUCCAAAAGUUGGUUAGCAUAUGAACACAGUUUUAAGAGCUCAUAAUGAGGACUUAGUCAAAAUGAAGAACUCUGAAGCUUAAUUCAUUCCAGGAAAGAAGAGUAUAUAUACAAGAGUUUGGGUGCCCAGAAUAGGGAGGAGACAUUUGCAGGAAAGACAGCAAAGAGGCAGGCAAGGGGGUGGCAAACACAAAAGCAAUUAUUCCCUCAAGGAAUGAUCAAGGUUGUAAAAUGUAUACACAAGACUCAUAGACUUCUUCCAUCUGCCCUUGAAUUAUCACUGUUCUGGUCAUUCUGCCCCAACUUUUUUGCUUUUUCCAUGUUUCCAAUCCCAGAUCUCACCGGCUUUUUUCUAAGUGUAAUGUAUGGUUUAAUUCUGAAUAUUUACAGCAAUUCCAUUAUAGAGUGAAUAGCAAAGGAUCAAUUCUAGAAGAGAGAUACAGAGAAUGUUCUACAUCUACAGAGAGGGGGUAGUUUUUUUUCCGGGGUUUGGGGAAGAGCAGGCUUUUUUUUUUUUAACUUUAAGAAGCUGAGGGGUUUGAGGAUGAGAUUAAUGGGGGGGGGGGGCAGAAAACAAAAGGUCCAAGAUUUGAAGUCAGGAAGAACACAUUAAAGGAAAGGAGGGUGAGGGGAAGCCCAACAAAAAGGACCGUGGAACCAAGCCUGAGGCAGGUGGUUGGUGUAAAGAUGGGCUUCACCUGCGUCUUCCCAAAGUCCUCCCCGACAUUCUUCAUAGCAACCAUCCUUUCCCUCUACCCACUCCCACCCAACUCCCAUUCUAGG